This 497-nucleotide ribosomal RNA is filed under the name uncultured bacterium. Its description in RNAcentral is "partial 16S ribosomal RNA". It matches the Rfam family "Bacterial small subunit ribosomal RNA", at positions 28 to 507 of the family's 1533-position model. The record is from RNAcentral.
GAUGAACGCUGGCGGCGUGCCUAAUACAUGCAAGUCGAACGCAUAGCGAAAGGUGCUUCCACCUUUCAAGUGAGUGGCGAACGGGUGAGUAACACGUGGACAACCUGCCUCAAGGCUGGGGAUAACAUUUGGAAACAGAUGCUAAUACCGAAUAAAACUUAGUGUCGCAUGACACAAAGUUAAAAGGCGCUUCGGCGUCACCUAGAGAUGGAUCCGCGGUGCAUUAGUUAGUUGGUGGGGUAAAGGCCUACCAAGACAAUGAUGCAUAGCCGAGUUGAGAGACCGAUCGGCCACAUUGGGACUGAGACACGGCCCAAACUCCUACGGGAGGCUGCAGUAGGGAAUCUUCCACAAUGGGCGAAAGCCUGAUGGAGCAACGCCGCGUGUGUGAUGAAGGCUUUCGGGUCGUAAAGCACUGUUGUAUGGGAAGAACAGCUAGAAUAGGAAAUGAUUUUAGUUUGACGGUACCAUACCAGAAAGGGACGGCUAAAUACGUG